Molecule: ribosomal RNA, 352 nt
Filed under: Asaia sp. AE14
Lineage: Bacteria; Pseudomonadati; Pseudomonadota; Alphaproteobacteria; Acetobacterales; Acetobacteraceae
Description: bacterial SSU rRNA
Rfam family: Bacterial small subunit ribosomal RNA
Source: RNAcentral
UCGGCUCAGAGCGAACGCGGCGGCAUGCUUAACACAUGCAAGUCGCACGGACCUUUCGGGGUGAGUGGCGGACGGGUGAGUAUCGCGUAGGGAUCUAUCCACGGGUGGGGGAUAACAUCGGGAAACUGGUGCUAAUACCGCAUGAUACCUGAGGGUCAAAGGCGCAAGUCGCCUGUGGAGGAGCCUGCGUUCGAUUAGCUUGUUGGUGGGGUAAAGGCCUACCAAGGCGAUGAUCGAUAGCUGGUCUGAGAGGAUGAUCAGCCACACUGGGACUGAGACACGGCCCAGACUCCUACGGGAGGCAGCAGUGGGGAAUAUUGGACAAUGGGCUAAAGCCUGAUCCAGCAAUGCC